This 598-nucleotide long non-coding RNA is filed under the name Capsicum annuum. RNAcentral describes it as "long non-coding RNA (CANN_LNC003589)". The record is from RNAcentral. Lineage: Eukaryota; Viridiplantae; Streptophyta; Magnoliopsida; Solanales; Solanaceae.
AAUAUUUAAAUCUCUUCCAUAUGUUUAAGAAUAAAAGAAAACAAGCAGCGUUUUUUUUUUUUUUUUUUUAUAGCUAUGUUUAUUCACUAGUGAUGGCCACUGACUGGAGUUGGUAUCGGCGUAUGGGACAAGAGGGAGAGGAAGUCGGCGGCGCGGGGAUGGUUGGUUCGCCGGAGAAGAUGCGUAAUCCAGUUGGAGUUGCUGUCGCCGCUGUGGCGUUGAACUCCGACCAGAACCGGUCGUGGAAAAAGGGAGGAGAUGACAGCGCCGGUCAGAUCCGGUCCGUUGAUGGGCUGUUCGCGACGGAAAAGGGGAGGGGGAAGGGAGUACGCCGGAGAAAGAAAAAGGGGGAGUGGCGCGGGUCUUGAAAUUCCGGCGAUGAGAGGUGCAAAAGAGUGACGUUAAUGACGUCGGCGAGAACCAAUCGGAGUCGACUCGAAAAUAGAUCCAUUUUUGGUGAUUUUUUAUUUUUUAUUUUUGAUCUGAUUUUGUCUACUGUGUAUAUGAAUUACUGUGUGCAUGAAUCUGAAUCUGCGUACGUGUAAAUUAUCAGAUGAGUAUAUAUAUGCAUAUAACAGUGUCUAUUUUCUGUUAUCUG